UACGGAGGAUCCAAGCGUUAUCCGGAAUCACUGGGCGUAAAGCGCACGUAGGCGGAUUCUUAAGUCGGUGGUGAAAGCCUGGAGCUCAACUCCAGAACUGCCUUCGAUACUGAGAGUCUUGAGUCCGGGAGAGGUGAGUGGAACUGCGAGUGUAGAGGUGAAAUUCGUAGAUAUUCGCAAGAACACCAGUGGCGAAGGCGGCUCACUGGCCCGGUACUGACGCUGAGGUGCGAAAGCGUGGGGAGCAAACAGG
RNAcentral lists this ribosomal RNA (253 nucleotides) under uncultured bacterium. Its description in RNAcentral is "partial 16S ribosomal RNA". It matches the Rfam family "Bacterial small subunit ribosomal RNA", at positions 524 to 776 of the family's 1533-position model. The record is from RNAcentral.